CUUCCCAGAGUGUCCACUUUCUUCCUCUCAGAGGCCAGUUAUUUCCACCGCCCAAAGUCUGUCCUCCAUUAUCUGAAAUACAGGAGCCAUCAUGAUGGAACCAUGGAGUAGCUAGGCCUUGAGAUGAAGAGCUGCCGGAUUGGGAUUCAGCAUUUCAACCAUUGUGUUGUGAUAGCAGGUCUGGACGGCAUGGGAGUGAGUGAGGGCUGCAGAAUGCGAGAUGGUUGAGGCAAAGGAGUGACAACUGCUAAGAGCGCCAUCUGCUGCCAAGGAUGAUAGAGAAGGAACUUAGGGGUAGCUGCGUCAUGUGCACAGUCUAUAGACACAAGUGGCACCAUGACAGGCUACUGUGCAGGCAAAAUGCGAUCCAACACUGCUAAGAAAAAUCUCUGAUUUGGCAGCAUAAGGUCACACCGACACCUAAAGUGGAACACCCACAGAGACAACAUUCUAAGAUGCCUGACAUCCUCUGGUAGCAUGAUACUCCUGUUAGUUCAAAGUUUUAAAAUAAAAAAAACCCCAAACCAAAUAAGCCUUAAUUCUGUAAUGAUAAAUUGGAACAAACUAUAAUUACAAAUAGAAUUGCAAGGCUCCUAGAAGAUCAUGAUAUAGGGUCUAAGCAGAAUGGCUUCUGCAUAGGAAAGUUAUGCCUCACUAAUCUUAGAAUUCUUUAAAUGUGUCAAUAAAAUAGUGAAUAAAAGAGAUUCAGAAAUGAAAAACUGGACUUUUAAAAGUCUGUCAUAAAAGGCUAUUCAUGAAAUAAAAUUGUCAUGGUAUGAAAGGCCAAGUAUGCUCACAUAGCAGAAACUGAUAGUAAAAGAACAAAAAAUGGCCAGUUUUCACCAAGACACACAAACCUUAACACUGGAGUGCCACAAGAUGCUAUACUAGAAGUGGCAAUUAAUAUGCUGAUGAUCUGGAAAAAGGAGAAGCAGUCAGGUGGCUAAUGAUACCCUUUUGUCUUCUGCAAAUUUAGUCAGGAAUGGAGAAAAUGGAGGAACUUCAGAGAACCUAACCAACCUAGACAAAUGGGCAACAAAACAGCAGAUGACAUUCAAUGUUAGUCAAUGAAGAGUAACACAGGAUGAGUAGUUUAACUUACUCUUUCCGUACAAUUUACUGGAAUCUACACUAUAUCACCUCAAGAAAAGGACCUGAAGACUUCUACUCAGCAUGAAGCAGCAGACAAAAAUCGAACAAAGCAUUAGAAUGGAUAGGGAAUGAGAUAAAGAAUAGUACAGAAAAUAUAACAUCAUUAUAUAAAUCCAUUCAUUUGCUCUGAAUACUGUUUUUAGAUGGAGUAACCCUAACCUUAACAUAAGUCUUGUGUUGAAAGCUGACUAUCAAUUGAUAUGCAUACAUUUAAGGUAAAUGCUAUCUACCACUGUGCAAUGCUGAGGAGUCAAGAGUAAUAAAAAUCCCACAUAGAGGCUACAUCUAGACUGCAGGCUUCUUUCAGAAGAUUGUUUCUGCUUUAGGAAAGAGAACA
Molecule: non-coding RNA, 1489 nt
Organism: Pelodiscus sinensis (Chinese soft-shelled turtle)
Lineage: Eukaryota; Metazoa; Chordata; Testudines; Trionychidae
Source: RefSeq, a predicted model, not a curated record